CAAAACUUGGUGGACGAGUCUGUUAGGUGACGAGAAGAAGCGGAUUCGAUUUCGGUGCAUGUCCGGAUCCAGAUCUGGCCUGUACGUGGGAUAGAAAAUGUAAACUGUUCAUCCUGGCGGAGGCUCAACGGAUGAAGUUUCCCAAGAUAUUUGGGAAGAGCAAAGACAAGUCAUCCAAGACAAGAGAAAAGGUUAUCGAACAUGACUCUGCAGCAUCUCCUGGGAAUGUGGACGAUCAACAUGGGGCAACCUCUCAACCUGAAAUGCAACGUUUGGAUAAAAAGCAUGGCAGUACCACCCAUCUACCAUCGGGACUGAGAAAGCUGUUUCGCUGGCGAAAAAAGAAGAAAAAGAAGAAAACAACCAGGAAGGGAGAUGGCACUCAGAGGGAAACGGAAACUUUUGCAGCUGCAGGUGGAGGCACAGGAAAUGAAAAAGGACAAUGGCAAGGCUUCUCCAGUGACAAAUUAGAAUUCUUGCUCGAGGAGAUUCUUCGACGGAUGGAGAACGGCGGCUCAUUGUCUCAGAGUACCCUGUCAAUGGCCAGCGGAUAUACAGAACCGUUAUCUCAAAGAAUGGACCACAGACGCUUUCAGCCCAACUACCGCUGUGGGUCUGCAAUCGACUUGUCCUAUGGAUCUGCACAAAAACGGUGACUUUUCUGACCACGUUGCCACAAUGCCAAAUUUUCACAGGAGGCGGAACAAAAUGGCCUCGGUCAGCGAUAUUGCCACAGCACAGUCUGAUCGGAGAAGUUUCGAAAAUUUCCGGUCAAUGAUGAUGGAACAACAGCAUAGAAACCCGGGUGGGGAGAUGUUAUCAGAUGACGACUCUGAUUAUAAUGACUGCUUCAGCAACGGAAGAUCGAUUGAAGAUCUUUCAUCUGUGAUGGAGCAAAUCCCUCCAGAGCUUGCUUACAUCCUCUUCAGAAAAAUGAAGGCACUGGAUAAGAAGCUGGAGAGGAACGACGCACGGACGGAUCCAGGAACUUCAUCUCCCAACAGUAUUGCUUCAUCGGUUAGUUCACUGGGCAGAAGAACAAUUUCUCCGAGUUUUGCAAAAGGUCCAGGAGUCGCAAGACCGAGCAGCCAUCCUACUCAUGCACGCCUCCCAACAACUGAAGAGUCUUCACAAGAGGAACCAUACUAUAGCGUGAUUGACAAGAGAAAUGAAAAUUAUGUUGACCAUUUUGAAAAUUCAUCAGACAGAAGCUCUUCCUGUUUGCACGAAAACGCUCCAUCUUCUCCAUAUAUGAGUGGACAAUCACGUGAUCAUGAUGUUGCUGAGAUGUACGAAACAGAAGGCGACCUACGUGAAGCAACGAAUGGUCGAACAAACGAAGAUCAAGACGAAUUGGAAUCGUCCUCGGGAAUGAGCAGACUUCCAAGAAUCAGAACAGCACUUAGGAACACUUCGACUUCUGACAUGUCUGAAGACCAGCAAAGACGUGAAAACGACCUUUCUGAUGGAUAUGAAGAAACAGAAUCACCCGAGAGUGUCAGCACAAAACUGGCACCUCACAAUAAGCGUUACGACAGGAACAGCGAGCGGAUCGAAAUGGGGAAUGGUGAAAAUAACUCUGCAUCGUCAAAUUCUAAAAUGAGGAACAAAUCCAAAAACGAAGAGGUAAAUUAUCGGCCGAAUUUGAGACGACGGCAUGUCACAGGAGUUGAAGUGCAUAACGACUCUGAUUCUGAAGAUGAGCAUCAAGAUUCACAAAUGUUUGCGCAACAAAGGAAUAUUCUGAAAAGAGCUCAAACGCCAGUAAACUAUGAAUCUGAGGAAGAAGAGCAUGAGAUAUCCGAAGAAGAGCAACGAAUACCCGAUAGGAUGUUAUUGAGACCAAAUGCUAAUCGGAUGGAGAAUAUGGAUGAUGUCUUGACCUCGAGCGCAAGAAACAACCAACCUAAUGCUGGUGACCAUGAGACUAUGCAAGAUGGCCCAUUAAAUCCACCUGUAAAGAACCAAUCAGAAGAGAGCUCCCAAAUGAUACACUCAUGUGGUGAUGCAGUUGAGUCUAUUAAUCACGAUGAGGAAGGCUAUGAUGUACCAACUGAUGGGACAAACUUUCAUGAAAUGAUGAGGAAUCUUCAGGAAAAUGUCACCGAAAACGGCGAAUCUUUCCUCGGGGACAGCAGGGAUGGAAAACGUAACAACUCCGGAAUCUACGCUGAUGAAAGGUUUUGGAAUAAAACUGAGGAUGCUGGGGAAAGUAGUCAGAGUUUCCAAGGCCUAUUUGAUGGAUCACAGGGUGAUCAAAGAAUGGAUGAAACUCUGCAUUGUCUUUCUCCUAUUAUUGAGGAAAAUCAGUCAGGGGAUAGAACAGACGAGGCAAGAGGCCGAACAAAUGGCAAAGGAGAGAUAUUUUACAAGGAACCAAAUUAUGCAAGUCGUCAAAAUAAACAUUUGGAAUUUGACAAAGGAACAUGGAAGAAGACUGCAUCUCGUGGAAAAGAUCCAAACGUCUCACGGGCAAAUGGAAUCUCUGGAGUUGAGAAUUUAAAUCGCGUGAUGGGAACUACAUCUACACACAAUGAAGGGAGAGAGAUGAAGCGAGCUCGGAAUGAUUGGGAGAGCCCUUUGAUGCAGGCCGGCCACAACAUUUUCCCAGAGAUAACAAAUUGA
Molecule: long non-coding RNA, 2625 nt
Organism: Eptatretus burgeri (inshore hagfish)
Lineage: Eukaryota; Metazoa; Chordata; Myxini; Myxiniformes; Myxinidae
Source: Ensembl